AACGUAGGAGGCAAGCGUUAUCCGGAGUAACUGGGCGUAAAGGGCGCGUAGGUGGUUGCGUAAGUUGGUUAUGAAAGCUCCUGGCUAAACUGGGAGAGGUUGACCAAGACUGCGCGACUUGAGUGGAGAAGAGGUAAACGGAAUUCCGCGUGUAGUGGUGAAAUGCGUAGAGAUGCGGAAGAACACCAGUGGCGAAGGCGGUUUACUGGUCUCCAACUGACACUGAACCGCGAAAGCAUGGGUAGCGAACGGG
RNAcentral lists this ribosomal RNA (253 nucleotides) under uncultured bacterium. RNAcentral's name for it is "partial 16S ribosomal RNA". It matches the Rfam family "Bacterial small subunit ribosomal RNA", at positions 524 to 776 of the family's 1533-position model. The record is from RNAcentral.